Molecule: long non-coding RNA, 11741 nt
Organism: Sarcophilus harrisii (Tasmanian devil)
Lineage: Eukaryota; Metazoa; Chordata; Mammalia; Dasyuromorphia; Dasyuridae
Source: Ensembl
GUUACUGAAAGAACUUCACAAGAGGAUCAUCUGAAAUAAACCAAAUUUUUAUCCAUUUCUGUUCAGAGAAAAAUGUAGCAGCCCAUUGAGGAAGUUGUUGAAGCUGGGCCUGAUUGUGGGACCUGCUUGACAUGGCCUGGUUGUUGCGCCUGAUUCUUCUGUUGGCUCUCUGUUACCUGGCGCUAACAUCAAGGAAAAACUUGAUAAUCACUCAGAGUCCUGCAGAAGACCAGGAGGUCCAAGUAAGACAAUCUGUUGAAAUAACCUGCUCUUGGAAUGUCUCUUCUGAAGUGGAACAGUUUCGAGUUGAAUGGAAAAAACUGAACCAUCUCAAAGACAGUGUAACCAGUCCAAGGGUUCGAGGCCAGGAAAUUCUCAUUCAGAAGCAUUUGUACAAUUCCACUGUCAGUCUACAAUUCAGUUCAGGGCUCAGGAAGGAAUGUCUAAGACUGGAAAACGUGAACAUAAAUGACUCUGGACUUUAUAUCUGUGAAAUAACAAUUGAAAUACCUAUAUUUGGGCAAGGAAAAGGAAAUGGAACUUUUCUGACUGUGAAAGAAAAGGAUGAAAAAUCAAAAGAAAAAUGGCUCUGGUGGGCUUUGGCCAUCUUUCUUUUGCUAAUAUGUAUCUGCUUGAGCUAUUACUGCAAGAAGCAAAGGAAUUCAACCAGAGUUGAGGCCAACAGAACUGACCAGGAGGAAAGAGAAGAAGAUGAAUAUAUUAUCAUGGAAAAAAAACAUAAGAAAGUAGAAAGAACCCUAUCUAAUACAACAGAAUGGGCUGUUUCUGUCCUUUAUGAACCCAUGCACUCUUUUGCUAAGAAGCCAGUUGAAUUGAAGGAUAAUGACAUCUACACUUUAAUCUAUUCAAAUUCAUUAAAAGCACCGAAUACAGAGCCAUCAGCCGUUGAACUCACCACCAGCACUUGUGCUCCAGAAGCACCCAGAGAGGUACAAGGGAAGGAAAGAAGCCUAAAUGUCAGUUAUAAAUAGAGUUCAUUCUCUUCAGCUAGUACCAACUUGACCUCAUCCACGAUCCAAAAAAAGCAAGAGACCGGUGUCCAAGAAAACAAAGAAUACGAAGUCCUAGAAUAUCAUCUAAUUAAUCCAACCUCUCCAUUUGCAAAGAAGAAAACUGAGGCUUAGAAUGGAAAGAAAAUGACUUCUUUCAGGUCUAGUGAGUCAAGAUCAGGACUCAAGUCCCCUUUCCAGAGCUAUUAAUUUGGACUUCAAUAGACACUAGAUCUGUCUUUCUCCUGAUGGACUAGAGCAUCUGAGGAAAUCCUUUGAAUGGAAAGUACCCUUCAGGAAUGGGAAGAGCUGACAGGUACUUCACCUCAGCUGAGCUGGAGGUUAAAUAAAGCCAUGGAUAAAGAUUAAACCUGUGAUUCAUUCUACAGAGAAUCCCAGGUGAAGAAGCUCUCUUUACUCAUGCAGGUGGGAAUCUGCUCUGAAAUCUCAUCUCAUUGAGUUGCUUAGGGCAAUGAGACUUGCCCAGAGUCACAAACUAUUAUGUGUGAGAGGCAGAAUUUGAACUUAGAUCUUUCUGGCUUUCUAUUCACUAUGUUAUGGAUAUUCCCCAUUAAAUGAUUGUAAAUUACUUGUGUCAGCUAGAGUCAGGAUGAAUUAAAGUCCUGGUCUUUAGGGGGAGAAGUGAAGGAGGCAGGCAAGCAGAAUCCUUGAUUCUGGAGUCACCAAUUUCUCUCCUCCUUGUCCUGCUGCCAAGUGACUCUGGCCCCUCUUUCCUGGCACUCAAAUCCUUGCCUAUGAUUAUCUUAACACCAAGCAUUAAGCAAGCACCAGCGGUGAGAAGAGCCAUUUAUCCAAAUAUAUGCUAACAGAGUCAUUGUCUCACAUCAAAUAAGUAAUUAUUAGCCUUAUGUGCUCAGUUGUCUGAUUUAAGCAUACCUUUUUGAAGUUUCAGCCUUCUACAAAUGAUGCUGCUUGGACAUGUGCCUCCUUGUUUGAUUUCUGAUUAUUCUUUUAGUUUUGUUCUCUCUGACUUUUGAGCCAAAGCUUUUAAAGCUUACCAGUGCACUCCUGCUUGGUCCUUAGUCUAUACCUUUACCUGGUUUAAUAUUUCUGUCCUUGGACAUUGGCCAGUUUUUGGAUUUUGCUAUGGCCUCCUAGGUGCUCUCCCUCCAGGGCAGGUCUCCAUUUUUGGUAUCCACCCUAAGAAGAUCUUCCACCCUCUAUUGUUCACUUGCAGACUGCUGAUUAACCAGAGGUCUGAUACACUCACUAAUCUCGUAAGGUCUCUUGUUACUUCUCAUCUCCAAUUAAUAUAUUUAAUUAGUACAGUUAGUACAGUGUGGGAAGAAUCACCAGGAUUCAUAGAACUGACACCAAACUCACAGAACCAGAGAAAUCCUUAGAGAUCAUCAAGAUCUACCUAUAUCUGAACUGGCAAUCCCUCUAUGACAUCUGAAAUCAGUGGUCAAUCAAGGUUUUGUUGGAGGACUUCCAGUAUUGGAGAAUCCUGAAGGGAAGUGAAAAGGUCUAAAGUGCCAUAUUUAAAAUGCUUCAAUAUUUCAAAAAGUCCAUGAUUUCAUUUGUGUUAGUACUCAAUCACAUAAACUGGUUUAGUCAAAAAUCUUCAUCAGCCAGUAGCCAGUGGGAUGAAUCAUUCUGCUAUUUAAGUGCCUUCCCUCACCGCCAUCCUCACCUCCAAUCCUUAGUGGGAAUAGCCUCAGUUCCUAUGAAACUUCCUUAGCUCAUCUUUUGCAUUUCUGUCCUUCAAUGUGUCCAAGUUUCUUUUGUUUUUUUUUUUUUGUUUGUUUGUUUGUUUUUUACUUACUGUAUGAAGCCUUUCCUUCCCCCCUCCCCCCCCAGCUGCUAGUGAUCGCCUUCUCCACUCUAUCCCAUAAGCCUGUGAAGAAUGCAGCCCUGAGUACGAUGCCUAAUGGAACCAAAGCAGCUUCCCUGGAGAUCAGCUUUUCCACCUGAGAUUGCCAGAGAGUUCACUCUUAACUAUUUUCUAAAUUUCCAUGGAUCCAACAGAAUAUAGUAACAAAAUCUUGGCUUUGAAGUCAGAAGACCUGGCACUGAAUCCUAAUUCUGUUGCUUACUGGGCAAGUUUGUGGAUUCCAGGUUGAGUCUGAGGAUUCUUAGACCCUCCCUGGACUAGCUCAGUUUUCUUUUUUUUUUUUUAAUUUUUAUUUUUUGAAGUAUUAUUUAUUUUUAUUUUUUAUGAUAGACUCUUUUUAAAAAUUAAAGCUUUUUAUUUACAAAACAUAUGCAUGGAUACCUUUUCAACAUCAAGCCUUAUAAAACCUUGUGUUCCAUAUUUUCCCCUCCUCCCGACCCCCUCCCUUAGAUGGCAGGUAAUCCAAUACAUAUUAAAUAUGUUAAAAUAUAUGUUAAAUCCAAUAUAUGUUUACAUAUUUAUACAGUUAUCUUGCUGCACAAGAAAAAUUGGAUCAAGAAGGAAAAAAAACUGAGAAAGAAAACAAAAUGCAAGCAAAUAACAACAGAAAGAGUGAAAAUGCUAUGUUGUGAAUCACACUCAGUUCCCACAGUCUUCUCUCUGAGUGUAGAUGGCUCUUAGUCACAAGAUUAUUGGAACUCAUCUAAAUCAUCUUAUUGUUGGAAAGAGCCACAUCCAUCAAAAUUGAUCAUCACAUAGUCUUGUUGUUGCUGUAUACAAUGAUCUCCCGGUUCUACUCCCUUCACUUAGCAUCAAUUCAUGUAAGUCUCCCCAGGCCUCUCUAAAAUCAUCCUGCUAAUCAUUUCUUUUAGAAUAAUAAUAUCCAUAACUUAUUCAGGCAUUCAGGUAUCCACUCAGUUUCCAGUUUCUUGCCACUACAAAGAGGGCUGCCACAAAAAUUUUUGUACAUGUGAGUCCUUUUCUCUCCUUUAAGCUCUCUCUGGUAUAUAAGCCCAGUCAAUAUAAGCUGGAUCAAAAGGUUUGAUAACUUUUUGAGCAUAGUUCCAAAUUACUCUCCAUAAUGGCUGGAUCCAUUCACAACUCCACCAACAAUGCAUCAGUAUCCCAGUUUUCCCACAUCCCCUCCAACAUUCAUCAUUAUCUUUUCCUGUCAUCUUAGCCAAUCUGAAAGGUGCGUAGUGAUAUUUCACAGUUGUCUUUAUUUGUGUUUUGUCUGAUCAAUAGUGAUUUAGAGCACCUUUUCAUAUGACUAGAAAUCACUUUAAUUUUUUCAUCUGAAAAUUGUCUGUUGGUAUCCUUUGACCAUUUAUCAAUUGGAGAAUGGCUUGAUUUCUUAUAAAUUUGAGCCUCAGUUUUCUUAUCUGUAAAAUUAAUUAUUGGACUAGAUAAUCUUUGAGGUACUUCUAAUCUCUGAUUCCUAUGAUGCUUCCUGUUCUAAGAGGAUAGAGUCAUAGUGUCCAGCUUUCCUCACAGCCUGAAGGAAAAUAACAUCUUUUCUUUUAGAGCAAGUUUUGGAAUUCUUCAGCACCGGUCUCUGUGAUUGAUUCAUUCUUCCACUACCAAGAUCUCAGCUAAUCAAGAAGCCUCCUGAUGGCAUAGUUAGUCAGCAUUGGGUAUCACAAUUCUACACUACAAGUUGUUCAAUCAUUCCACUAAUAGGAUAUCUAACAGAGUCCAAGCUGAGAGGACAAGAGAGUAACACAGUCAGACCUGAACUUUAGGAAGACCAUUUUGUUGGAUAAAUAGGUAAAAAGGACAAUAGCAUUUAUUUCAUAUAUAUAUGGGUGGAUAUAUAGAUAUAGAUAUAUACUUUAUGUGAAGAUAAUAGCACCUAUUAUAUCUCUGUAUAUCCAUACAUAUAUAAUAAUAUGGGAUAUAAAAAUAGUUCCCAUGGUUGUAAUGAAGGUCAAAUGACAUAUAUAAAGUCCUUUACAUUUUAUAUAUUACACAUUUAACUAUCAUUAGUAAUAGUCAUAAAAAUGACAAGUUGUAGAGGGUCUCUUGGAUUUCUUCUAGCAAUACCAUUUUCUAUUCCAUUCCUGGUUCUGCCAUUAGCCAGUCAUAUGUCUCUGACCAAUUCAUUUUCCCUCUCUGAAUCUCACUUUCCUUCUCUGUAAAAUGAGGGUGUUAGACUAAAUGGACCUAGAUGAUUUCUGAGGUCCUUUCCACCAAGAGCAUUCUAGGACUGUGAUUCUAAUCCUACAAAUCUAGCUACAAUUUCUGUAUCCCACUAGAGAUAAUAAUUUUCAUGGUCCUUUUAGUGAGAAAUAAAAUAAGGGUGGAGCAUCUGGGUCUUUGUCCUAGGACAGAAAAUUUAGGGAAUAUCAAAAGCACUUACUUGAAGGGACUUCUGCCUAUUCCCACAGAAACAGAGACUGCAGCCUAGUUCUGAAGAUGCUUCCUCCCUUCAGAAGCUUAGAGAUCUAUUAGAUUUCUGAAAAUCAAGAAGUAACAACACCAGAAGCUCCUAAUUUUUCCUGAUUCCUUUAAGGUUUUCAGUAGAUAGAAGCAGAUAGAUGGAUAAAUGGAUGGAUGAUAGUGAGAUAGAGAGUUAGAUAGACAGAGAAAACAUUUGUUAAGCUCUUAACUCUCUGCCCAACAGUGUACUAAGCAUUGGAUACAAUUUCAGGCAAGGGAGACCAUCUAUUCUCUCAAGGAAUUUACAUUCUAAUGGGUAAAGGCAACACUGAAAGGGAGCCAGAAUAGGAAUGGUGCAUGGGACAAUGCUGUAGAAAUAACCAAGAAGCAGAUGCCUUUCUAUUCUUUUCUCCCUGUUAAUUUUGGGGCAUUCCCUCUAUACCCACAUGCUGUCCUCUGGGCAAGUCUCCCCAAUUGUUCCAAGUGCAGAAAUUAUUAGCUUUCGUUCCACCUUUGUUUCAGUGGCUUCCUUGAGUCCAUUUCGUACCAGAGAGUGCAAGGGAGAGUUGCUUCAUCAUAGUAAUCUAGCAAUGUACAAGAAGAUAAUGAGUAAAUAUACAAUUGCCCUUUCACCUGACUCUGUGGAAAUGAAGUUCUCCUAAAAGAAAACUACUACAAUGGAAGUAGAAAACUACUCCAGUGGACCUACAUAGGUCAGUCAGGGAAGGUGUAACAUUGCUAAGUCACAAGCAUAGCCUGGCAGAUCAGACUAUGGGACUGAUAAAUCCCAUGAGACGUGCCCAAAGAAAAUGGCUCCAUGCCACUUAUUUUGUAUGCUCUGACAUCCAGAACAAUAUAGUACAGUGGAAAGAGCAAUGGUCACAGAGGAGGUCUAGUUCAGCAAGUAACUAGCUUUAUGACCUUGGGCCAAGUAUGGCUCUCCCUGAACAUCAGUUAUCUAUAAAAUGAAGGUGUGGAUCCUUUCUUUCCUGUCACUCAAGAAGUUCAUUAAAGCACUUAUAACAUUCUCAAAGGUUAAGCUAAACUUUGUUCUCCUUCUAAUAAACAAGAGAUUGACCAUAAAUUUAAGUUUAGAAAAGAUUGAAGAUAUCAUCUCAACUAACUUCCUUCUAAGCCUGAGGAGGAAAAUGAAGCCCAAAGAAGUUGAAUUUUCCAAGUUUAAAUAGGUAAUAGAUCCAGGAUUUGAACUGGAGUCCUCUGAUCUAAAUUUCACACUUAAAAAAAAAGAAACAAAUAAAUUUUAUUGACAUCUUUUGUUUUUACAAAGGAUAAAUUGCUCCUUUUAGUCAUCUUCCAUCCCAAAGAGCAACUCCUUUUAAUAAUUUUUUAAAAACUAUAAACAAAGAAAAAAAGAGGAAGAAAAUAAGAAUUUAAUAAGACUGAUUAAUUGAAACCAAUAUACUGUAUUGAAAAAAUCUAAUGCUAUAUGCAAUUUUCCAUAUUUUUGGACAUCCCAUCCUGCUUUAGUUAAAGAGUGAGGAAUGGAGUUCUCUCAUAUCUAAUCUUUAGAAUCAUGAUUGUUUUUUGUAAUUUGCAACACUCAAUUUUUAAGAUUUUCUUUUUUUUUCUUUUUUCCACUUAGUUUAUUUUAAAUAUGCAUUGCUUUAUGAAUCAUGUUGGAAGAGAAAAAUCAAAGCAAAAAAAGAAAAAUCAUGGGAGAGGGAAAAAAACAGAAAAAAGAAGUGAACAUAGCAUGUGUUAGCUCUUUUUCUAGGUGCAGAUGGCAUUUUCUGUCCAAAGUCUAUUGGGAUUGCUUUGGAUCACUGAACCACUGAGAAGAACCAAGUCUUUCAUAGCUGAUCAUUGUACAUUCUUGCUGUUACUGUGUACAAUGUAUUCCUGGUUCGGCUUGUUUCACUCAGCAUCAGUUCACAGAGAUCUUUCCGUGCUUCUCUUUAUUCAUCCCACCCACCAUUUCAUACAACACAGUAAUAUUCCUUACAUUCAUGUGCCACAAUUAGUUUAACCAUUCCUCAAUUGAUAAGCAUUUGUUUUAUUUCCAAUUCUUUGAAAACAGAAAAGGUGCUGCUUUGAACACAUUUUUGCUUAUCACAAAAAGUACUGCUUUAAACAUUUUAUUGUAUAUGGAGCCCUUCACAUAUCAGAAAUGUUGGGAAGGUAGACACAAGACUUGGUAAUAGACUCCUGAAAUUUUUUGAAAUUCUGAAAUUUAGAAAUUUUUGAAGAAAGACUUUAAGAGUAUUUGAGUACUAGUUAAACCAAUGAAUUCAGUGGGAAAUAAGAAAAUGAAAUGAUUAGCUGUGUGACCCUGGGACAAGUCACUGAAUUCUAGUUGUCUCAAAAAAGAAAGAAAGGAAGGAAGAAAAGAAGAAAGGAAGAAAGAAAAAAGAAAGAAAGAAAAGAAAAGAAAUGAAAUGAAGUGAAAGGGUUAGUAGAAGGCUUCUUAAGCCUUUUCCAGUUUUACCAUUUCUUGCUCUCUUUUCUCAUAUCUUCCCAAUUCUGCCUCUAAAUAGAAAAGAACCAUAAGCUUUAAAACUAACCUAAUAACCUGUCAUUUUUAUGACUAUUACUAAUGAUAGUAAUAAGAUAGUAAGAUAGAUAGUAAGAUGUCUAUAAAGCAAAAAGGACUUUAUACAUAUCUUAUUGACCCUAAUUACAAUUGUGGAAACUCUUUUUAUAUCCCAUAUCAUAUAUAUGUAUGUAUAUAUAUUACAUAUAUGUAUGUGUGUAUAUGUAUAUAUAUGUAUAUAUAUAUAUAUAUAUACAUAAUAGAUACUAUUUCAUAUUGUCUUUAACCCAAACAAUAUGGGUUGUCUCAAUAUCAGAAAAUGGAAGUAAUUUCAAGGUCACCCUGCAAGUUAAUGGCAUAGUGAAGAUUAGACCUAAAGUCUCAUUACUGCAUUGUUCUUUCCACUAUAGCAUACAAACCAGGAUCUUAGGAUAUUAGAACUGGAAGGAUCCUUAGGGAUCAUCUGUUCCAGUCUCCUAAUUUUAUAGAUAAGCAUAUGGUAUCUACCCCAGGAAAGGGAAUUAAUUUUUCUAAGAUCACACAGAUGGAUAAUCAGUAACAGUACCUAGAUCCAAAAGACAGAUCUUCUGACUCCAAUUAACUAUUGAAAUAAAAUGAAAUUGUGAAGAAAAGUCCAGGUCAGGAAAACCUUUGCUUCCCAAACACUUCCCCCAUAUUUCUGAGGUCUAUGGAAGUGAACACUAGAUUAGGGUCUUUUAAGGUGAUUAAGAGACCCAGGGUGUCAUUAUGUAUAAACUGAAGUAACAUAUAAAGGUAUUUAAUAAAUGCUUGUUAAUUCAAUCUCUCAUUCAAAACUUUUUUUAAAUUAAAGAAUGUUUUAUUCAUGGUUUUCUUUUUAAAAUAUUCGCUGUCAGUUAAAGGUAUGAAGUACAUGUACACACAUGUAUACAACAUUAAGACUUCUCUUUAGAAGAUCCAAUUCAGUUCCAAUUGAUCAAUGAUGGACAGAAUCAACUACACCCAGAGAAGGAACAUUGGGAAAUGAAUGUGGACUACUUGCAUUUUUUACCAGGUUAUUUUUACCUUCUGAAUGCAAUUUUUAUUGUGCAACAAGAGAACUGUACAAUCUGCACACAUAUAUUGUUUCUAGGAUAUACUAUAACAUAUUUAACAUGUAUAAGUCUGCCUGCCAUUUGGGGAGGGGAUGGAGGGAGGGAAGGGAAAAAUUAGAACAGAAAUGAGUGCAAGGGACAUUGUUGUAAAAAUUACCCAUGCAUAUGUUCUGUCAAUAAAAAACUAUAAUUAAAAAAAAAGACUUCUCUAACAAAAACAGAGGCAAAACCCAACCUUUACUCUAGCAGUAUAUAUGACUUUCUGUUGAGAGGAGGGGCAUCUUUUUCGUUAUCUAUUUGCUUGCCUCUUUGGUCAACAUAAUUAGUCAGAGUUAAUUUCCUUUAGAAUUCAAUAGAAUUAGAAUUUAGAAGUCAACUGGUUUUACUUGUUUCACUCUGAAUCACUCUUUUCAUGUUUCUCUGAGUUCCUCAUAGUGAUCAUUUCUUAAUACAUAAUAAUAUUCUAAUAGACAGUCAUCAUGGCCUACAUGUUAGAAAGUUUACUUUCAGAACCAGAGACUGAGUCCUCACUGACAUACAUAUGGUAUAAGUCUUGUCAAAUGACUUAAUCUCUAGUGUUCUAGGAAACUCUAAGACCAUAAGAUACAGAACAUCGCCUCUUUGAAUUCGUAGAGGAAAUUUCCUCACCAGAAUUUCUCUAACUUGAAAAAAUCAAGGCUCAGGCCAAAAAAUUAAGCUAUAUUCCAUCUCACAUGAUUGUAUAUGUAUAUAGAUUGCUCCCCGUCUCAGGGAGGAAUUGAAGGGAAGAAGGGAGAGUGGAAUUUGGAACUCAAAACUUAAAAAAAUAAUGAAUGGUAAAAAUUAUUCUUAUAUAUAAUUGGGGAGAAAUAUUAUUUUAAAAUAUAUACAUAUAUAUUUCAUUUCAUGAAUACAUUAUGUUUUGUUUAGUACUUCCACAAUCAACGAGCCCCUAUUUUGUCUGCAAUUAUUUGCUAUCACAAAAGUGCUGCUUUCUUUCUUUUUCUCUCAUGAACAUUGAAAAUCUCCUUUUUAAAGUCUUCCUUUACUUGUGCAGAGAUCAUUUUGAAGUUUUUUUUCAUAAGUCUCAAGUGUAUCUUGGUAGACUAUUUUCUGCAUAGGUAUAGAUUUUGUAGUUAUUUUUAUUUUUUUUAAUAAUAGCUUUUUAUUUUCAAAAUAUAUGCAGAUAGUUUUCAACAUUCAAUCUUGUGUUCCAUUUUUUCUCCCUUUCUUCCCCUCACCCCUUCCCCUAGUCAGCAAGUAAUUCAAUAUAUAUUAAAAAUGUGUAAUUCUUCUAUACAUAUUUCCACAAUUGUCAUGCUGCACAAGAAAAGUCAGAUCAAAAAGGAAAAAAUGAGAAAGAAAACAAAAAGCAAGCAAACAACUACAAAAAUGGUAAAAAUACUAUGUUGUAAAUCACAUUCAGUCCUCAACAGUUCUCUUUCUGAAUGCAGUCCUCUCUCUGGGUGCAGAUGGCUCUCUCCAUCACAAAUCUAUGAGAAUUGACCUGCAUCACCUUAUUGUUGAAAAGAGCCAUGUCUGUCGAAUUGAUCAUCAUAUAGUAUUGUUGUUGAAGUAUAUAAUGUUCUCCUGAUCCUGCUCAUUUCACUCAGCAGCAGUACAUGUAAGUCUCUCCAGUCCUCUCUGAAAUCAUUGUGCUGAUCAUUUCUGAUAGAACAAUAAUAUUCCAUAACAUUCAUAUACCAUAACUUAUUCAGCCAUUCUCCAACUGAUGGGCAUCUAUUCAGUUUCCAGUUCCUUGCCACUUUUGUAGUUAUUUUGAGAUGGAAUUUCUUUUUCUAUCUUUUCUUCUUGAUUUUUGUUAGUAACAAAUGAAAUAUUAGUGAUGUUUGUAAAUUUAUUUUCUAUCCUUCUAAUUUGUAAAUCAUUAAACAUUUAAUCGUAUGAAUUUUGAUGAUUCUCUGGAGUAAAAGGCUUACUUUGUGUGUCACUAAAAAUGGUACUGAAACAUGUAGGAAGCAUGGACUGUAUAAAUUUGUAAAAAUGGCAACAAUAGAAAUGAACUGAUUUAAAUAGAACCUGCAAUCUAUUUUGGAUAUCCAAAAGGAAAAAGAACUUUUGAAAUUACUAAGCUAAAUGUGGAAAUGUGUUUUGCAUGGCUUCAUAUGUAUAAUGGAUAUUAUAAUUCUUGCAUUUUCAGUGGGUAUGAGAGUAGGUGAAAGGAGGAAGAGAAUUUGGAACUUAAAAAAAAAAGAAAUUACUAAGCUAACUAAUCACCACCCAUUUUGUCAAUAGUGAGUCUUGCUCUAUAAAAGACAUCAGUCUCCCAGCUUGCACACAUUAUCAACCAAACCUGUUUCUGGAAAGAAGGGAAGUCAAGAGUAUAGAGAAUAUGUCAGAACUGGAAACAGCCAUGGCAAUGCUCAUUGAUGUCUUUGACCGGUAUGCAGGAUCUGAAGGCAACAAGGAGACUCUGACUAAAGGGGAACUAAAGACCCUGAUAGAAAAAGAGUUCCCAAACUUUGUUAAGGUAAGAGUUUAUUACUGAGCAGCCACAAAGUCAGGACAGCUGGUUUCUAAUCCCAGGUUUGUCAUUAAUUAUUUGUAUAAUAUCAUUUAACUUCUCUGGGUUCAGCUUCUUCAUCAGUAAAAUGAGAUGGGGAAGGAAGUUUGAGGUAAAGAUUGCUGGAGGAUGAGAAAUAAGUUUUUAACUUCCUUUCCAUCUCUAUAUCUAUGAUUCAAAGAAAUUCUAUAAAAUUGACAGUUCUUGACUAUGGAAGGAUGUGCUUCUAGAGGUAACUAUUGUUAGUUUACAUCGCUCAUGUUUAAAAAAUGUUUAAUGAUUUAUAAAGUCUCUUCUCUGUAAAAAUAAGAUACUAGUUUCACUUUGGAUAAGUUUAAAAGUGCUUUUUAAAUGGAAGGUUCCUAUUGUUACUGUUGUAAUUACUUGUUUUAUUAUCCCCAUUUUACAGAUGAGAAAACUUAAGAUCAAU